CCUCCCUGUUCAAAUUUAUAAUUAUUGUCAGCUAACCCAUUAUCGCUUAUGGUCCUUUAUAUAGGAUCAGGAAGAUAAUCCAUCAUAUUUCUGCAACACCUGUACUUUUCUGAGAUAUCUUUAGUUAAUCAUCGAGACUGGAAUGUCUUUCAAAUAUUACACCUACUGUCUGAUGUAUAUUCGCAACACUGAUACCUCAGUUUUCAGUACAGUGUGAAGAUCUUUAGGUAAAGGAUACAUUCAGUUUCGUGUAAUAUCAGACAGAAAUUUUUCAUUUUUAUUUUCAGAUACUCUCCCAUGGCUUUCUACCAUUCAGUCAAGUCAUUCUAUUCAGUUCAUGAUGCAGUAAAUUAAGCAGAAGAAAAUGAGUCUCCUUGUGAUGAAAACUUGGUGCUAGUAUAGUAUGUGGUCUACCACGGUGUCAAACUGUAUAGUCAGGGUUAUCACCUUUCCACUUGCGGUUUAUCUUACAUUGAAAUGUUACUAAAAGAUUUUUAUACACGUCAUCUUUACAGAGGAAACAGCAGUCACAUUUUUACAAGAUUACAAUCUACUGGAUACACAAGAAGCAGAUCCAUGCCGUCGAUGCGGUGCUGUCAUGCAGGAAAGACAAAAACGUGACAGAGGUAGACAAUUCAGGCCUGUACUUCGUUGUCCUCGAAAGGGGUGUCAAACUUCACGUUCAGUUCAUAAAGGAAACCAAUUUUUCCAUUAUUUGGACAUUAACAACAAAUUAAGCUGCAAGCUGAGUCUGAGUGAGAUUCUAGAACUGAUAUGUAUUUUUUGUCAUGGAUAAACCCAUAACCACAGCAGUGACUCUAACAGGAAAAUCUAAGAAUGCAAUAACUGACUGGUACAAUAUGUGCCACAAGGUGUGUGGAGCCAUAGUUUAUCAUGAACGACGAGGGAAGAUCGUUGGAACAAACGAUAACCUAACCCCAUUCAGAUUGACGAAGCAAGAUUUGCUGGUCGACGAAAAUACAAUCAAGCAAGAAUGCUGAAUGGUGACAACACUCCUCUCUUCAAAGACAGUGAUGCAGAACAACGAAACAACAGGAACCAUGGAUGUAGAAUUGACAGACCGUGUGUUUUUGGUCCCAAACAAGGCUCAGACUGUCGAUACUUUUGUGUGGAAUGGCAUGAUCCCAGUUAUUGAGAAAGAAUGUGAAAAAAGUUCAGUAAUUCAUUCAGAUGAGUGGCCCGCUUAUUGAUAUGGUUGAAAUUCCUACAGAUGUCCCCUGAAGGAUGACAAAUCCCAGAAAAAGGAAAAUCGUGGAUCCUAUGACUACAACUUCGAAGAAAAAGAAGAAUUCUGUUUGAAAUGGCAUGACAACAAUGUUUUCACAAUUGCAAGCAAUCAUCAGUCUGCCACCCCUGUUGGAAAUGCUAAAAGAUGGUCAACCACAUAGAAAGGAAAUAUAUGUUCCUCAGCUAUUUCUCAUAUCUGAGUAUAACGAAUAUAUGGUAGGUGUGGACCACUUAGACUGGCUUAUCCAAAAGUAUCGCAUCUCUGUUACAUCUAAGAAGUGGUACUUUAGUCUAUUCACAAAUUUCCUUGAUGCUAUGAUGGUUAAUUCCUGGGUUGUACAUUGUUUUGCAAAUGAAAAUACUUUGACAUUACUAGAUUUCAAGAGGUCAGUUACACAAGCUUAUUUGGAGUUAUCCUCAGAUUCUGAUCCCAAAAAUUUGGUAUGGCCGAAGGUAUUUUCUUCAAAAGUAAUACCAGAAAUUAGAUUUUCUACUACUGAACAUAUUCUUGAUAGGAAAGAAAGAAAAUGUGCCCUUUGCAGAAAAAAAAAAGUUUCAAAACAAUGUGUAAAAUGUAAUGUUGGUCUUCAUAUGGGUUAAUGUUUCAACAAAUGGCAUUCGAAUUAAUGUGUAUUUAGAUUGUUCAGAAAAACAAUUCUUUUUGAUUCUUUUUUUUUUUCAAGUAAUAUGCAUUUUAUUUGAAUUAAUAAGUAAAUAAAAGAGUGUUUUUUUAAAA
Long non-coding RNA from Octopus bimaculoides (California two-spot octopus), 1984 nucleotides. NCBI's taxonomy places the organism in Eukaryota, Metazoa, Mollusca, Cephalopoda, Octopoda, Octopodidae. The record is from RefSeq and is a predicted model, not a curated record.